RNAcentral lists this long non-coding RNA (563 nucleotides) under Macaca mulatta (Rhesus monkey). RNAcentral's name for it is "lncRNA (ENSMMUG00000043421.2)". The record is from RNAcentral. Lineage: Eukaryota; Metazoa; Chordata; Mammalia; Primates; Cercopithecidae.
CUUGCUCCUUCUGUGGGAACAGAGACUCUGGCAUCUUCAGCUUUGAAAUUGCUUAAACAUAUCUGCUUGGAGGUGGGAUAGGUGAGUCAAGCUUCAAUGUCCUUCACUCUGACCCCAGGGUGUCUAAAUGCUCUUAAUUUCUUCAGAUUAUCCUCCAACACCAGGGCUAUUUAUCUAACCUCAGGGACAGUAAAUAGGUCUGUGGCUCAGAAGCUCCUUUCCAAGGAGUUUUUGAGGCCUGCAUUCCUGGCUCACCAAUACUUUUCACCCGUUUUGUUUUUACAUCUUUUUCUAGAGGGAAUGGAUGCCACAUGGUGCAGCUGCCUAAAAGCUAAGAAGGGGUCAUGGGGUAACAGGAAAUGCCAAAGAAAAACAAUAAUUGGCAUAAAGAUUGAGGCCCAGAAGAGGAAAAGGAAGUGACAAAGAUCACCCAGAAAGAAGGUUCCAACUGCAGCUUGACUUCAGGUGAUGUAGCUCCCACCUGGCCAGGUAUCUUUUCCAGUAUACCAACAUAACUAGAGAAAUUUUUAUGCCUUAACUCAGUCACCAUAAAGACUCAAUGG